GUUUCUUGUGGGAUUUGGGGCUGUGGCUUACAUUCUGGCAUCUCAGUUUCUCAGUUGUAUGGUACUGGACACCCAAAGGAAACUUAAGGAAGGGCGCUCAUGCAGCAGUGUGGAAGAAUCGGAUUGGUUAAAGUACCACUCUAAAAGACAUCACCAGACAAAGGCAGGCAUGAGACGCUGCUGACGUCCUUUGGCUUCCUGUUCAUGAGGCUGUGCUUGGCAUCCUCGGAUUUAGGCACAGUGUGAAUUUUCUUAGACUUCACCCUCCAGACCUCAUUUUGUUUCAUCAGCCCUUCCCUGCCUAUCAGAAAUUUGGUGUCUCUUUCCUCCCUGUGGAUCCCAGUGCUGAGAAGCCAGCAGCAGUCAAGAGAAGUCACAAGAUUGUUUGUGUGUUGGUGGUGUUUUUAUGAAUGCAGGAAUUACCACAAUUGUAUGAAUAAUUCAUUCAUGAAAAUGAUGCUUGAAAAAGAAAAGUACUCUUCUAUUAUUCUUGGAAAUUGUUAACCCAGUUGCUUUUUUUUGCCUUUGCUGUGGUGGGAGCUGGCAGCGGCUGUCAUUGAGAGCCAGCAAGUUCAUCUUAGUGAAAGUUAGUGAGUGGGGGGCAGGAAAGAUGCAGGCCCUUCCCCGCUGUCGCU
This is a long non-coding RNA of Zonotrichia albicollis (white-throated sparrow), 635 nucleotides long. RefSeq lists it as uncharacterized. The record is from RefSeq and is a predicted model, not a curated record. NCBI's taxonomy places the organism in Eukaryota, Metazoa, Chordata, Aves, Passeriformes, Passerellidae.